CCUAGGGGUGCUCCAGUGGGGAAUAUUGCACAAUGGAGGAAACUCUGAUGCAGCAACGCCGCGUGGAGGAUGACACUUUUCGGAGCGUAAACUCCUUUUAUAUAGGAAGAAGAUGACGGUACUAUAUGAAUAAGCGCCGGCUAACUCCGUGCCAGCAGCCGCGGUAAUACGGAGGGCGCAAGCGUUACUCGGAAUCACUGGGCGUAAAGAGCGUGUAGGCGGAUUAAAAAGUCAGAAGUGAAAUCCUAUAGCUUAACUAUAGAACUGCUUCUGAAACUCUUAAUCUAGAAUAUGGGAGAGGUAGAUGGAAUUUCUGGUGUAGGGGUAAAAUCCGUAGAGAUCAGAAGGAAUACCGAUUGCGAAGGCGACCUACUAGAACAUUAUUGACGCUGAGACGCGAAAGCGUGGGGAGCAAACAGGAUUAGAUACCCUUGUAGUC
RNAcentral lists this ribosomal RNA (439 nucleotides) under uncultured bacterium. RNAcentral's name for it is "partial 16S ribosomal RNA". It matches the Rfam family "Bacterial small subunit ribosomal RNA", at positions 338 to 795 of the family's 1533-position model. The record is from RNAcentral.